GGAAGAGUGGGUGAGUUGGCUGAAACCAGGCGUUUGCUAAAUGUCCGAACGGAGCAAUCCGUUCCGAGAGUUCGAAUCUCUCCUCUUCCG
RNAcentral lists this transfer RNA (90 nucleotides) under Flavobacteriaceae bacterium. Its description in RNAcentral is "tRNA-Ser". It matches the Rfam family "tRNA". From Rfam's summary of the family: Transfer RNA (tRNA) molecules are approximately 80 nucleotides in length. Their secondary structure includes four short double-helical elements and three loops (D, anti-codon, and T loops). Lineage: Bacteria; Pseudomonadati; Bacteroidota; Flavobacteriia; Flavobacteriales; Flavobacteriaceae. The record is from RNAcentral. RNAcentral also lists the same sequence under 1 other name.